GGCAGUUGAGAUUCAGACCUUGACAGUUGUAACCGAUAGACUGGGCUGGGGCAACGCUGAUGAAAGGCAAAUUCCUGAGAGAAAAAUCACCCAGAUUUUUCAGUGCCUUCUCUAGCUUUCUAGAAGUUGUUAUGAGUGGACCUGACUACCUAGAGAGAGUAAUACAGAAGCUCCGUGCCGAUCACAGCUACCUCAUUACCAUGUUCCUCCAAGAUGGCCGCCCCUGAGGAGAAUCAUCAACUGGGCUUUACGGAAGAGAGAAAUCCAAACGACCAUCAGCAACAAAUGAAAGACUGAAGUUGAAAGUUUCAAGAUUGUCAAGAAUGACGAGUUGGACUUGGUCUAGUUACUUCCACAGCAGCAGGAGGAACAUGUGUGUGACUCAGGAUAACUGGGGAAGCCUUGGCUAGGCUUUCCUCAUGUCAACCUACCACUCAAAGGGAGAAAACCUCCUGAUCAGAGGAAAUCCAUAAUUUUUGAAUGCUGGCCGAGGUCUGUGACCUCUGACUGAAUGGUUUCCAAGCUCCGAAUUCCUAGGUGAUGUUUUCAUUUGUUCACACUUGCUGAAGAAGGGAAAGGCUCUCUGAUUUACGUGUAAGCAAAACAAUCUAAACAGUAGGAUAAAAUCAUGUUGGAAUGGAGUUCUGUGUGGAUGCUCCUUUGAACCAAAUCAGUUCCACAACUGACCCUGUCAGGGACAUAUAAAUUUAGCAUUUUGGUGUGGAUACAGAAGACGAGAUUAACACAGAUCAAGUAACAUGGAAAUAAAAAAGGAGACAAUGCUGGAUGAUACAGGGGCAGCCAACAAGAGGAGAAAACCCAAGCAUUGGCAAAUGCCUCAUUAUCCAAAGAACACUGAGGUGUGGAGCAAAACUGUGUUGAAUGAACUGUAGAUGGAAAUUCUCUCCUUCCCACCGAGGAGCCGCUGCAGGUUGCAGACUCCCAGAAUGCCACACUGAGAAGAGGAGGGCUAAAAUUCUAGAGCAGAAUCCCUGGGGCAGCCCCUGCUGAAGAAGGGUGCAUCUGUUGAGAAUCUCAUCACCGCCCCCACCCCGCCCAGCCUUCAAUUUAGAGGAAUUUCUAGUUCACGCAGAAUGAAGACAAGAUCACAUAAGUGAGGACGACGCCCCAUUUACAAGUGUGAUUUGGAAGACUGAAGUGGAAACCUUGGGAAGGGGCCUCAGAGUAUGUCAGCUGGGGUCAGACGGGAACAGGAGUCUGGCUCAACACACAUUUAUUGCACUCCUGUUUCAUGCCAAGAAAUGUACCAAAAUCUGGGACUGUGUAACACAGCAAAGGAAAAGACUCAUCUCCAGGAAGCCCCCUUGUCUAGGAAGAGAAAUUGAAUAUCAGCAUAAGGUGGUGAAAAGCUGUGAAGGAGAUGAGUGCCAGGAGUCCAUGGAGGAAGGAUUCUAGCCUGGACAGAGUCUCCAUGAAUUGCAAGGGAAAACAAGUGGUACACUGGUAUUUCUAUUUGAUAACCUGUUCUCUUUGGAAUUCCGGUUAGAAAUCAAAGGCUUACUUGAGUUUUAAUGCUUUCGGGACUUCAAAUGCUUUUCUAUCUUCCUAAUAAUAUAUUAACAUUUUCUGAAGACAACAUAUAUGUGGAAAACAACAUUAUUUACUCAAAUAAUUUUUUUUGAAAAAUGGACCAAAAAAAAAGAAAAACCAACAAAAA
Homo sapiens (human) is the source of this 1678-nucleotide long non-coding RNA. Ensembl annotates it as long intergenic non-protein coding RNA 1206. NCBI's taxonomy places the organism in Eukaryota, Metazoa, Chordata, Mammalia, Primates, Hominidae. The record is from Ensembl.